CAAUUGGUGGGUUUGAUCCUGGCUCAGGAUAAACGCUGGCGGCGUGCUUAACACAUGCAAAUCGUGCGAGAAAGUCACCUUCGGGUGAUUAGUAAAGCGGUGGACGGGUGAGUAAUGUAUGAGCAACCUACCCUAAGAGGGAAAUAACUCCGAGAAAUUGGACUUAAUGUCCCAUAAUCUUUUCUUUCUUUAUGUUUGAAAAGCAAAGCAGGCCUCUAUUUAUAAGCUUGCGCUUAGGAAUGGGCUCAUAUCCUAUCAGUUUGUUGGUGAGGUAAUGGCUUACCAAGACUAAGACGGGUAGCCGGCCUGAGAGGGUGUACGGCCACACUGGAACUGAGACACGGUCCAGACUCCUACGGGAGGCAGCAGUGGGGAAUAUUGGGCAAUGGGCGAAAGCCUGACCCAGCGACGCCGCGUGAAGGAUGAAGGCUUACGGGUCGUAAACUUCUUUUAUUCCAGACGAAUCCCGCUCUAAUAAUAUUAGUGCGGGGUGACUGUACGGGAUGAAUAAGCCCCGGCUAACUCCGUGCCAGCAGCCGCGGUAAUACGGAGGGGGCAAGCGUUAUCCGGAUUUAUUGGGCGUAAAGGGUGUGUAGGUGGUUUGAAAAGUCAAAUGUGAAAUCCCUUUGCUUAACAAAGGAAUUGCAUUUGAAACUUCUAAACUGGAGUUUGGGAGAGGAAAACGGAAUUUUCGGUGUAGCGGUGAAAUGCGUAGAUAUCGAAAAGAACGCCAGUGGCGAAAGCGGUUUUCCAGUCCAAUACUGACACUGAAACACGAAAGCUAGGGGAGCAAACAGGAUUAGAUACCCUGGUAGUCCUAGCCGUAAACGAUGGAUACUAGGUGUGUUCCGCUUUGCGGAGUGUGCCAAAGCUAACGCGUUAAGUAUCCCGCCUGGGGAGUACGGUCGCAAGACUGAAACUCAAAGGAAUUGACGGGGAUCCGCACAAGCGGUGGAGCGCGUGGCUCAAUUCGAUGAUAAACGAAAAACCUUACCUGGACUUGACAUGCUGGAAGUAGAAACUUGAAAGAGCUUUCGAUUGGUAUCCAAUCCAAAAUCAGCACAGGUGCUGCAUGGCUGUCGUCAGAUCGUGCCGUGAGGUGUUGGGUUAAGUCCCAUAACGACCGUAACCCCUGCUGUUAGUUGCCACUUCCGGAUGUAAAUCUGGAAAGCACUCUAGCGGGACUGCCUCGGAUAACGGGGAGGAAGGCGGGGAUGACGUCAAGUCAUCAUGGCCCUUAUGUCCAGGGCUGCACACGCGCUACAAUGGUUAGAACAAUGGGCAGCGACCUCGCGAGAGGAAGCGAAUCUCUUAAAUCUAACCCCAGUUCAGAUUGCAGGCUGAAAUUCGCCUGCAUGAAGUUGGAAUCGCUAGUAAUCGCAGAUCAGCAUGCUGCGGUGAAUACGUUCUCGGAUCUUGUACACACCGCCCGUCACAUCCCGAAAGUUGCAACACCCGAAAGCCCCUAACUUUAUUUAUAAAGCAGGAGAUUAAGGUGCGACCAAUGAUCGGGGUGAAGUCGUAACAAGGCAGCCGUACGGGAACGUGCGGCUGGAUCACCUCCUUU
This 1567-nucleotide ribosomal RNA is filed under the name Candidatus Omnitrophota bacterium. RNAcentral's name for it is "bacterial SSU rRNA". It matches the Rfam family "Bacterial small subunit ribosomal RNA". Lineage: Bacteria; Pseudomonadati; Candidatus Omnitrophota. The record is from RNAcentral.